CUACGUGCCAGCAGCCGCGGUAAUACGGAAGGUCCGGGCGUUAUCCGGAUUUAUUGGGUUUAAAGGGAGCGUAGGCCGGAGAUUAAGUGUGUUGUGAAAUGUAGACGCUCAACGUCUGACUUGCAGCGCAUACUGGUUUCCUUGAGUACGCACAACGUUGGCGGAAUUCGUCGUGUAGCGGUGAAAUGCUUAGAUAUGACGAAGAACUCCGAUUGCGAAGGCAGCUGACGGGAGCGCAACUGACGCUUAAGCUCGAAGGUGCGGGUAUCAAACAGGAUUAGAUACCCUGGUAGUCCGCACAGUAAACGAUGGAUGCCCGCUGUUGGUACCCGGUAUCAGCGGCUAAGCGAAAGCAUUAAGCAUCCCACCUGGGGAGUACGCCGGCAACGGUGAAACUCAAAGGAAUUGACGGGGGCCCGCACAAGCGGAGGAACAUGUGGUUUAAUUCGAUGAUACGCGAGGAACCUUACCCGGGCUUGAAUUGCAGAGGAAGGAUUUAGAGAUA
RNAcentral lists this ribosomal RNA (505 nucleotides) under uncultured bacterium. RNAcentral's name for it is "bacterial SSU rRNA". It matches the Rfam family "Bacterial small subunit ribosomal RNA", at positions 501 to 1008 of the family's 1533-position model. The record is from RNAcentral.